AACGAACGCUGGCGGCAUGCCUAACACAUGCAAGUCGAACGAGACCUUCGGGUCUAGUGGCGAACGGGUGCGUAACGCGUGGGAACCUGCCCUUAGGUUCGGAAUAACUCCCCGAAAGGGGUGCUAAUACCGGAUAAUGUCUUCGGACCAAAGAUUUAUCGCCUUUGGAUGGGCCCGCGUUGGAUUAGCUAGUUGGUAGGGUAAAAGCCUACCAAGGCGACGAUCCAUAGCUGGUCUGAGAGGAUGAUCAGCCACACUGGGACUGAGACACGGCCCAGACUCCUACGGGAGGAAGGAGUGGGGAAUAUUGGACAAUGGGCCAAAGGCUGAUCCAGCAAUGCCGCGUGAGUGAUGAAGGCCUUAGGGUUGUAAAGCUCUUUUACCCGGGAUGAUAAUGACAGUACCGGGAGAAUAAGCUCCGGCUAACUCCGUG
This 433-nucleotide ribosomal RNA is filed under the name uncultured bacterium. RNAcentral's name for it is "partial 16S ribosomal RNA". It matches the Rfam family "Bacterial small subunit ribosomal RNA", at positions 29 to 507 of the family's 1533-position model. The record is from RNAcentral.